AAGACCUUGCACUUUUGGAGCGGCCGAUGUCUGAUUAGCUAGUUGGUGGGGUAAUGGCCUACCAAAGCUUCGAUCAGUAGCUGGUCUGAGAGGACGGCCAGCCACACUGGGACUGAGACACGGCCCAGACUCCUACGGGAGGCAGCAGUGGGGAAUUUUGGACAAUGGGCGCAAGCCUGAUCCAGCCAUGCCGCGUGAGUGAAGAAGGCCUUCGGGUUGUAAAGCUCUUUCAGCCGGGAAGAAAAGGUUGCGACUAAUAAUCGCAAUUCAUGACGGUACCGAAAGAAGAAGCACCGGCUAACUACGUGCCAGCAGCCGCGGUAAUACGUAGGGUGCGAGCGUUAMUCGGAAUUACUGGGCGUAAAGGGUGCGCAGGCGGUUUUGUAAGUCAGAUGUGAAAUCCCCGGGCUUAACCUGGGAACU
Molecule: ribosomal RNA, 423 nt
Filed under: uncultured bacterium
Lineage: Bacteria
Description: bacterial SSU rRNA
Rfam family: Bacterial small subunit ribosomal RNA
Source: RNAcentral